MicroRNA precursor from Oryza sativa Japonica Group (Japanese rice), 183 nucleotides. It matches the Rfam family "MIR812 microRNA precursor family". The record is from Rfam. Lineage: Eukaryota; Viridiplantae; Streptophyta; Magnoliopsida; Poales; Poaceae.
ACUACCUCCGUGCCCAACGUUUGACCGUCCGUCUUAUUUAAAAAUUUUGAAAAUAUUUAGUCACACAUAAAGUAUUAUUCAUGUUUUAUCAUCUAAUAGCAAUAAAAAUACUAAUCAUAAAAAAAUUUCUAAUAAGACGAACGGUCAAACGUUGAACGUGAAUAGUGCAAAACUGCACUUAUU